RNAcentral lists this ribosomal RNA (301 nucleotides) under uncultured bacterium. Its description in RNAcentral is "partial 16S ribosomal RNA". It matches the Rfam family "Bacterial small subunit ribosomal RNA", at positions 509 to 807 of the family's 1533-position model. The record is from RNAcentral.
CAGCCGCCGCGGUAAUACGGAGGGGGCUAGCGUUGUUCGGAAUUACUGGGCGUAAAGCGUACGUAGGCGGCUUUGUAAGUUAGAGGUGAAAGCCCGGAGCUCAACUCCGGAAUUGCCUUUAAGGCUGCAUUGCUUGAAUCGUGGAGAGGUGAGUGGAAUUCCGAGUGUAGAGGUGAAAUUCGUAGAUAUUCGGAAGAACACCAGUGGCGAAGGCGGCUCACUGGACACGUAUUGACGCUGAGGUGCGAAAGCGUGGGGAGCAAACAGGAUUAGAUACCCCCGUAGUCCCUGUCUCUUAUAC